AGGGACAAGAAAUUCCAGGAGAGCUGACUGAUUUGCACAAUGUUGUUUGUUUAGAUCACACCUUCGGACACGAAUGCAGUUUGAGCUGUGAGGACUGCAUGAAUGGAGGCUGAUGCCAGGAAGGAAAGAGUGAGUGUUCCUGUCCCAAUGGCUGGAGAGGCUUUCUUUUUAAUGAAACUCGUUCCCCAGAGACCAGUGUGAGAGAGUAUGAUGACAUCUGUGAUUGUCAGAAUGGAGGCACCUGUGACCCUCUGACUGGGCGAUG
This 265-nucleotide long non-coding RNA is filed under the name Capra hircus (goat). RNAcentral's name for it is "lncRNA (ENSCHIG00010003722.1)". Lineage: Eukaryota; Metazoa; Chordata; Mammalia; Artiodactyla; Bovidae. The record is from RNAcentral.